Molecule: non-coding RNA, 112 nt
Organism: Acanthosepion pharaonis
Lineage: Eukaryota; Metazoa; Mollusca; Cephalopoda; Sepiida; Sepiidae
Source: the annotation of a GenBank genome assembly
UAUGGCCACAUCAUAUUGAAACACCAGUUCUCUUCUGAUCACCAAACUUAACCAAUAUCAGGCCUAGUCAGUACUUAGAUGGGUGACCACUUGUAAAUACCAGGUGUUGUAA